This 249-nucleotide ribosomal RNA is filed under the name uncultured prokaryote. Its description in RNAcentral is "partial 16S ribosomal RNA". It matches the Rfam family "Bacterial small subunit ribosomal RNA", at positions 524 to 772 of the family's 1533-position model. The record is from RNAcentral.
UACGGAGGAUGCAAGCGUUAUCCGGAUUCAUUGGGUUUAAAGGGUGCGUAGGCGGGCUAUUAAGUCAGUGGUGAAAUCCUGCAGCUUAACUGCAGAACUGCCGUUGAUACUGAUAGUCUUGAGUUUGGUUAAGGUAGGUGGAAUGUGCAGUGUAGCGGUGAAAUGCAUAGAGAUUGCACAGAAGGCCGAUUGCGAAGGCAGCUUACUGAACCAUAACUGACGCUCAUGCACGAAAGCGUGGGGAUCAAA